RNAcentral lists this non-coding RNA (201 nucleotides) under Ectopseudomonas oleovorans. The record is from RNAcentral. Lineage: Bacteria; Pseudomonadati; Pseudomonadota; Gammaproteobacteria; Pseudomonadales; Pseudomonadaceae.
UGGCUUUCCGAGCCUGGCGUUGCUGCAGUGGAUCGUCGACAGCCUCGAAGAGGGAAUCCGGAGCGAUCAACCAUCGCCACCGAGCUGCCCCCGCAACUGUAAACAGCGAGUCCGCUGCACAUGCGCCACUGGGCAACCGGGAAGGCCGUAGCGGAUGAAGACCUGUCAGCCAGGAGACCUGCCGACGAACGCUGGUCGCGA